AUGAAAAUCUGCUCCUCAAAUCACAGUGAUUUAUUUAAUUAAUUGCUUUAAUUAAUCAGAAAUUUAUAAUCAAUCGCUUUGUUUUUUCACUGGCUAUCUGUUGAGUGAUAAAUUAUGGCUGGAUGUCACGUAUUUUUCACGAUAUUUCAUAUUGUUGAAAGUGGUCAUGUCACGGACCGAUGCCGGGGCAUUUGCUGUUCAAAGUGGCUGCAGAGACAAAAAAUAAUGGCCAAUAAUUAUUUGGAGUAAAUGACCUCAUAAGUGACAAAGGUCUUGGCAUUUUAUUGAACAAAACAAGUGAAGCAUUGAAGGCCUUGGUCACAUUUAUGUAUCAAAAAAGUCACAGAUACAUAACAAGUUGUCAUGAAUUAUCAUAAGGACAAUGAGAGUGAAGAACUGACAAGCAUUGUUUUUCCAUGUUGGUACUUCAUUGAACUAGACAUAAUGAAAGUAUUGGUUAAAUUAGUAUGUCCUGAGGAUUUAUUUAUCAAACAACUACGCGUCAAGCCAAGAUGAAAAAUGAUUGAUCCAGCAAUAUGUCCGUAACAUGACAUUCACCACAAUGUUGUUUUCAACAUCAAAUGUUAUUGAAUGUUCUUGUACUAAUUUGGACAACUGAAACAAGUGGUGCUGUGCUGACAGAGAAAAGACAAGGAUAAUUGAUGUUAUUUCAUGAAUAAAUUAGCUAUUUUACCACGACUAUCAGAAAAAACAAGUAAAGAGAAUAAUGAUGAUGCUGAUGGUGAUAAAAGUGGAUGCUAAUCAUAACAAGAUAAUUAAUGGAUUUUACCUGUGUGCUCAUUGUAAUCAUAUUCACAACAUAAAUCAUAAUCAUUGAUGAGACGCUGAGUUGGUGUUAGAGUUGGAGCAUCUGAAUAAUGCUGAUUAUGCUAUUCCUCAUAGAUCAUCUAAAUAAGGUAAGAGGCCUUCUGGUCACUUGAUUAACCAAUCCCUCGGGUUAAAUGUGCGUCAACAAGCUUGUAACUUUGAAGAAUCUAUUGUUAUAUUCUUUAAAGCUACUUGAUAAUCCCCGAUAUAUUUUUCAUAUAUAUAUAUUUGUGACUUGUUAGCUCACCUUGAUUACAUUUUUAUUCAAUUAUAAUUUUUUCAUACCAAAGUAAAUGGUCGUAGUUAAUUGAUCAAGGUGUGUACAUCAACCUGUCUAUCUCAAACAGAGUAGACGGGGGUGAAUAGGAUGUAUUUCAAUUUUCAGGUAUUCGUGAAUUCAAGACAUUAGUUGAUUUUUUUCUAUGUAAAAUUGUUAUACCCAUUUUAUUCCAUUUCAGGUUUAUUAUAAUAAUUAUUAGUUUUAAUUAACUUCUUG
Molecule: long non-coding RNA, 1324 nt
Organism: Aphidius gifuensis
Lineage: Eukaryota; Metazoa; Arthropoda; Insecta; Hymenoptera; Braconidae
Exons: 7
Source: RefSeq, a predicted model, not a curated record